AGUAAGUGCCACCGCUCCGCCUUCUCCUUUUCGCAAUGUUGACGCAAUCUAUAAAUAGUGGAACAAAAGGACCAACUUCCUCGCAGCUUUGCUGAAACUGCACAAAAAAGGCAACCGGGGGGGGACACACACGAGCUGGCAACGUCCUGCGAGCGGCUAUUUUGCUUUUGCACCGAGAGAAGAGCUUCCUCCCUCGCCCUCUCUCCUGACACCUAUGGAUGAAAUCCACACUGGUGUCUAACCUGUAAUGAGUGCCAAUCUUCUGAUGUUUAGGAGAACAGGAAGCAGCUCACAUUGUGGCCAGCUCUGAGCUACACGUGUCAAGUGGCAGACCAACCAAGCAUGCUGACCUGCAAGGCAACAGGUUGAAGAGAACAGAAAAUUUCUGAGUCCAUGCUGCAGCUUUUUCUACCCCAGGAGCACAAAUUUGAGUCCCUUCUCUACUCACAGCUGCUAAAUUUCAUUCAAAUUGCAGAAACGUGACUUUGUGACCUCUACCUCUAUAUCAAAUGCAGCUGAAAUUAAGCAGUGGAUUUGAAAGUUAUUAGGAGAUAACACAACCCUGUAAUAUAACUUGUUUUGCUCAGAACCUAGGCUUGAAAACACUGUAGCAUAAUCACUGUGAUAAUAAUGAUUUUUAUGUCACUUACUGUUUUCAUUCCGGAGUUACACCACAAAGUCAGAUACAACAAAACACAAUUGUUACACAGUGAUAGCAUAAAUGAAUGUAGAGACUUUCAAUAAAACUGGAUUCAUUUUGCAAUGUGAACAGGGCCCUGAAUACAGGUUGCUUCAUAAAGGUGAUAAUUUAACAGAAAUACAGUAUUUUUUUUAACUUACCAUGACUAUAACUGACUGCCCUUCAUGGAGAUCCAUGCUUCUCUUCCAACUCCAUACUGUCUUUCCUUAGGCUUAAAAAAAGUUCAAUGAUAGACAGCUCAAUAAAACAGCCACAUCAAGUCUAAUCAGUCUAUUCAGUAUAAUUGUACUUUUGUGUUUGUUUUUUUUUUUUUUCUUGUCAAGUUGGUUGAUUUUUGGUUUUUUAGUUUUUUUUUUUUUUUUUUUUUGGAGAAGCAUAGUGAUUUUUAAAGCAUCACCUUAAAAUCCUGAUCUUACUGCCUGGAUCCUGGUAUCCAAAAUUAGGGAAUAGUUUUUAAUAAUAUGCAAAACCCAGUUCCUUUUCUAGAAAUGGCAUCCACAAUUCUCUGUUUACCUUUUCUAUUGAUAUAGCACUACAUUUUUAACUUGCAUAUUUCUCACUGAAAAGGCAAACUUGAAAUCAGAGGGGUUUAUAUGUUGCUGGAUUCCAGGAUGAAGGAAGGAAAGACAUUGAAGAAGUACAAUGACUUCUCUAAAACUCCAGUAAAAAAAAGAAGAGAGACAAAGAAUAAUCAGUGUGGAAAAGUUAAUGGAAAACUGAACAUUAGAGGAAAGGUUAGCAGGACACGACAGGUAUUAGAAGAGUCAGGGAAGUGAAAGUGAUUCAGCUAAAUGGGGGAUGGAACAAAAGAAACAAAGUUACAUUCUAAGCAGGGUAAUGAAAACAAGCCUUUCAAAAGAGUUUGACAUUGGCCUACCUCUUCUUCUGUCAAAGUGAAAGAAUUACAUCAAUUCAAAAAAUGCCUCAUGAAAACCUUAAAACCAUUUAACUUUAAGCAUUUGGAGUUACUAAACUCUGCUCAAGUAAGCAACUAAAGAAGGGCUUAAAUCUGGAAACCAAUUUACAUCCUAUUGUUAUUUUUCACUAGGUCUGUAGUAUCAAAAACACAUCCAACACUGAGCCUCAGCUCCUUACCCUAUAAACAGACUCACACUUUGGUGCUGGUUGGGAUGCAGCCCAUUGGUUACCAGACAGGCAAAGUCAAUACAAGAUGCAAGGGACUAAUGUGGGUUCAGACUCUUCUCUCCCACAUUCAUGCAAGUAUGUUUACUUAAGUGCACGAUUAACUGAUGAAGAGAAUGCAGAUAGUUAAAUGCUCAAAAUUAAUUCAAGAAUCAGCUCUCUAAAAGAAAACUAAAGAAAAAAUGGCUGAGAAGGAACAAAGGAACUGAUUGUUGAAUCUGUAUUAAAAAUAAAUGACCUCUGGGUUACAUCUCAAUGCACUGUGCCUGAAAACUGCUGCUUCUUUCUGGUUUAAGUAUUAAACCUUGUUUUUAAAACAUGAAAUGGUAAAGAACCUUGGCAGAGGUCAAGCAAGUUUAGUGGUUGAUAACAGUACUAAAGUAAUUCUUAACACAGGGUGUAGCUCAGAUGUUGGCAAAAAGGACUCAGCAUCUCUCUUGGCUAUUUAAACACAUUUGUGCUUACAAACCCAGUUUGGUAAACAGCUGAGACAGGGUAAAUAUUCCAUAUUCCAAGAGGAUAAACUGUGGAAAUCAUAAGCCACUCAUAGGGUUCUGUCCCUUUUACUCCUUACUCUACAAUACAGCUACUAAAGGAAAACAAAAAUUGAUUUGUUGAGAUACCAAAAAUGUCUAGGGCAUCUCUCAGCAUUCUUAGAACUUCUGGUCACUGUGAUCCAUCUCCUGAGCUAUGGAUCAUUCUGUGCACCAUUAUUUUAAACUGUCAUCUACCUAAAUUAUCAGGAGGUCAACAACAACAACAGUUAAGAACUAUAUUCUUACACAAGCAAGCCCCUGCUACCAUCCUUUAUUUAUAUCUCUAAAAGAAAGGAAGCCCCUCAUUUUAAGAUCUAUGCUUAAUAAACCCAUACAUAUAAAUAUCAUUACCAAGUGAUUCUUAUGACUAGAAUUAAAGACCUGAUUAAGGAAAAAGAGAAACGGUUCCUCUAUAUUCAGUCACCUUUUCACAAAACGGCUAAACAAAAUAAUGUUUUGUUCCUCCCAGAAUUAUGAACACUACUAAAAUUUUCUAAAUGUUGUGAAGUUCAGAGUUCAAAACUUCCCAGAAACUGGGAAAAUAGAGAAGUAAAUUAACAUCCUGUAUCUUUCAGUCUUAAAAGAAACAAAUUGUACGCAAAAGAGCAAACAAACUAAUACUAACUAAAAGCACUUUCAGAUCCCCCACUCCUGCAGUCAUUUCAGCAGCAUUCCAUUUAAUUGCAGGCAUUCACAUCUGUAAAAUUUAAACUUCAGUCUUUCAAACAGCUUCAUAUAUCCUGAACUUAACUCUUCUAAGUAGUGCUAUCGAUAAAAGUAUUCAUUUGAACAGAGUUAGGCACAGGACUAAGGCUAAAGAAAGUAAUAAAGAAAUUAACUAAUGAAUUCAGUGUAUCACUAACAAUUAUUUUUGAAGUUAAGGACAGCAAGGAAUAAAGCAAAGCUUGAAAAAUUAACAGCUGAAAUAUGGGGUGUGGAGGAAAAAUUAUGCUAUGGUCCGAGAAAUUACCCCACAAAAACUAACUUCAAUACCUAUUAAAUAAAAGAAUCAGUGCUAAACAGGAAAAAAUAAUAGAGCAUCCCUAAAUUAAAAGUCAUGACGACCAUGCUCUUUUCUCACCAUUUGAUGAGUCUUCUUCAGUUCAAGAUUGAAGUUCAUGGCUGCUGUGGAGAAGAUCACUUGGCCACUGUUCUGCUGUAAUUAAUCCAUAAAUAAAAGAGUGGGCUUCAGUUUUCACAGAUAACAAGACAGAACUUUUCAUAACCAUUAAAUCCACAAAAAUAUUAAAAUGUUUAGAAGUUACAGUUGGACCAUUUAAGCAAAACUUUACCACAGAACCUAAGUUUAAUACCAACUCCUUAUUAAAUCCUCAGGGAUAGGUUUGUUAUUAUGAGUCAGGCCUAUAGAUAUGUAGGAGUCAAUACUAUAAGAUGCUAACAAAACAUAGAAAUCCAACAUUUUGAUGACUACACCACUAGUCUUUAUGCCAUAUUGAGUAUUUCAGUUGUUUAAAAAAAGAUAAAUUGAAGGUUAGCUCUUGAAAAACCAGGAAGUAAAAGAAAAAAAGCUAGUUUUAUUUUUCACGUGGAAGUAUACAGGAAAUCUAAUAAAGCAUGUGUAUGUCCUAAGCCAGCAUGUACUUCUUGCAGUCCUUACAGUCUAUAGAAGUAUCCUUAGACCAGAUUUAUUCUGGCAAAUUCAAAACUCUGUUUUCAUUGUACAACAGUAAAUGCUGUCCACUUCAGUCCUUUCUAGAUUACAACUGCCAUCAUUGCAAGCAGACUAAAAUUGCAAAGCAAUGAAUUCCAAAUCCUGUAUUUGUCAGGGUAAAAUAGAGACUGAAUGGCUACAGCAGAAAGCAAAAUACACAUGAAGGAGGAUGCCCAACUACAGUUACUGGGUUAUUAAACUGAAACUUUAAACUUCAAGUGAUAAGAAACGUACAGGGGAGGCCUGAAGGGAGGCUUAGAUGAACCUAUAACAAGGAUCUAGAAGGCUGGAUGAGCAUCAGGGGCAAGGGAGGGCUCAAAUUAGAAAAAAUAAGUAGGAAAAAAAUUCAAAUUUCCACUGGCUAUAUGUCCAGAUACAGUACAAACACUGAAUACCAAAACAAUAUGUAGGUGUGCAAUUAUUAUAAUCAUGUGGGUGUACCUUAGUGCCCCCCAAUUGGUCUAACUUACCUAGGAACUUUCCAGAUGAAAUAGAAAAACAUGCAAGAGCCCAGGCAAGCCAAAUGAUCUAACUAAAAAGUUACAGAGUAAUGACACAACGCCAGUUUUCAUUACAACAAAUUCCUCUAAUCCUCACAGUUGUAAAAUAAAUCUUAAAAACACAUAGCAAGGUAAUUUGUAAAGUAAUGCAAGCCUGAGCCAGAAGACAGCCUCCAGCUUUCUAACCAUCCCUAGCUAUGAGUUUCUGUGUCAUUUCAGCAGGCAUGUGCCUUGCUUUGGCUUUGCCACCUCUCAACUGGAUCUAAGCAAUCCAGUACGUCCAAGCACAAAGCCUGCUGCAUAUAGGAAACUCCAAGUACAGGAAGCUGGGGGGGGAUGUCAUCUUAGCAAUGUAGGUUAUUAUAAGCCCUUAUUUACACGGAUUUUCUCUAGACUUUUAAUUUACAAAUCUGGGGGCUCAGGAUUCUCCAGGGCAUAAAACCAGGAUUCCUCAAGAAGUGCUUUCUAGGUCUCUAGACUGGAUCCAGUCGGCAACAGCUUCCCACUCCUGACAUAAGAGCACCUAGGCAAGAAGUGGGAAAAAAUGCUGAAAAGUUCUACAGACAGAACUUUCAGUCUAAUGAAUGAAACUGCCCAAGAACUAAGGGCCAUCAGAAAUGUAACUGCACCUUGCUUGAAGAACAAAACAUAUUACUUCAGCCUUACCUCACCAACAUAAAGACAUAAUGUGUAUGGAAGAAAAGGCAGAUACAAUAAACUGAAAACAUUCAAUUGCACAUGCUGCUUCCCUUGGCAACAAAAGAGCAGAUAAUAUGACAAAUGCUGGUCAUGUCACUUCUUACUGUAUGAGGAGAUUCUCUGACAAUUUAAUGGCACUCUCUGAGGAGAAGGACCUGUAAUGCAGGACAGGCACUAUGAGGAGGUGUUCAGAAUGAGAACUGCAUGAAGAAAGGAGUUGAUUAUAGAAACUGCAGCUUAUCUGCAGUUUCUAUAUCUGCUUCCCCAGCAGAUAAGACAUUCACCACUUUGAUGAGUCCAAUUUGUUUGGGAUGGAAAUUUAAUCUAAAAGAUUUAAAUUAUUUUUGGUGAGGCUCAAAAUCCCUUUCUUU
Melospiza melodia melodia is the source of this 5621-nucleotide long non-coding RNA. RefSeq lists it as uncharacterized. NCBI's taxonomy places the organism in Eukaryota, Metazoa, Chordata, Aves, Passeriformes, Passerellidae. The record is from RefSeq and is a predicted model, not a curated record. The transcript is spliced from 4 exons.